AUUUCAAAUGUUGCGCGCCACUUUUUCAGAUUUACACAUUAUAUAUAU
Molecule: small RNA, 48 nt
Filed under: Arabidopsis thaliana (thale cress)
Lineage: Eukaryota; Viridiplantae; Streptophyta; Magnoliopsida; Brassicales; Brassicaceae
Description: ATSL160020
Source: RNAcentral